GCGGGUAUAGCUUAAUGGUAAAGCUCCAGCCUUCCAAGCUGAUUAUGCGGGUUCGAUUCCCGCUACCCGCUCCA
Molecule: transfer RNA, 74 nt
Filed under: Verrucomicrobiia bacterium
Lineage: Bacteria; Pseudomonadati; Verrucomicrobiota; Verrucomicrobiia
Also listed under: 1 other name
Description: tRNA-Gly
Rfam family: tRNA
About the family: Transfer RNA (tRNA) molecules are approximately 80 nucleotides in length. Their secondary structure includes four short double-helical elements and three loops (D, anti-codon, and T loops).
Source: RNAcentral